AUCACAUCGUCAUCAACUAAACAAACCAUGGAAGAGAAACUGAAUCCACAAGGAAGCUAUAGGAGGAAAAAUAAAGAGAAACAUAAAGGCUAUAGAUGCUGUUUGCACUCCUAUGGCUAAGAAACAGCUUUAAUAAAAAAAUAAAACUGACUUCAUUUCUACUGCAACCGCCCCUCCCACUCAGAACCCUCUGUACCAAAGAGUUUAGUUAAAGAAGUCCAAAAUACAGAAUACAGCUGCAUCAUCUUCUCAGCAACCCACGCUACCUCAAAGUUGUCCUCUGCUGUCUACACUAGCUUCCCAUAGAAUAUCUAGGUUCGACGGGGACAGGUGAGCAAAGCCCACAGGAAUACCAGGAAUGGAAAAUCUAACCUUCCCUGGUUAAGGGAUGUUGGCCCUUUAACAAAGACUUCCUUUACUGAAAAUGUAAAUAAGUCACUGAAGGACAAACAUUUUAUUGUGAAAUCUGGAUACUAAACAGCUCUACCUAGACCUUUAAUCGUAUUUGAGGAGUUGACCCAGGAGCAAGCUGGAACAAAAGUAAACCAAUACUUUUAAUGCUCAAGCCUGGCUGCCAUGAAAACUUUUGCAAAGCAGAAACCUGGAACCCUCACACAGCAGUGUGGUUUUAGCUGAUCUCACUUCUGAGGAUCACAAAGACACAGAAAAGACAGAUGAUCCAGGCACUCCAAAGCUGCCCAGAUCUGCAUGCCACUAGCCUGUUGACUGCCAUGGUGCCUGUUGAAGUCAUCACAGAGUGGCAUGGCGUCCUACUGUGGAGGAAGAAAUAAAACAUGCAUCCCUAGAAACUUUGGGAGAGGAUCACAGAGUAUCUCCAUGAAAGUUCAUCAAGAUUUCUCAGGAGGGUAAAAGGGACAUCUCUAUCCACAUAAACAUUGACUCUGCAUGGCCCUCUCCCCACCUAGCCCAACGGAGGAAAUGAAAAGCAAAUGCUGACUUUACCUCUGUUUGUACAUCUAGUUCUUUGCAUAUGAGUGAAGGAAUGAUAAGUUAAUACCUUCUGUCUUGUUAACUUUGGGGAUUGGCCAGGAGCCAUUUUCAAAUGUAAACAUUGUAAGGAAAAAUGCAUGUGCACACUUACCCAAACUCCCUUCCCCUUCAUCCAUGGGCUCAUCUACACUUGCGUGGCACGACUAGCUGGAUUCCUGCUGGGUUUCCUGGCUCAUAGCAUGGUUGGAGCCCCUGCUGUGUCUUCCUCCUCCUCCUCCUUGCUGUUCAUGGCAGGAGUCUGUCUUGGGUUUUUUUGAGGUAUCCACAGUGGUCUGUGGGUGCUGGUGGUGUCACAGCCAAAUAUGGCAGUAGUUGUAGAAGAGGCAGGUCCAUGGGGCACAACCAGAUCUAUUGUUGCCCUUCCUGACCUAGUUGUAUCCCUGAACUUUCAUGUGGCACUGAUGCUCAUCCCUGUCAUGCCCCUUUGCCUGCAUCUCCCAUGCAAUCUGCUUGUAGAUGUCCACAUUUCUAUGGCUAGUCUGUUGCUGUGCCUGCACAGCCUCCUCCUUCCACAGACCCAGGAGAGCCAAUAUCUCCUGCUACUCCAGCCAGGAGCACAUCUACUAUCUGUGUGGAGCUAGCAUUGUUGGUUGGGCAGUUGCAUACAACAAAGGUAAGCUGCAACUGGGAAAAGGCAUUUCAAAAAUACAUGGGCUUUUAAGGGGUGGGUGUGUGGCUUCUGGUCUCUGUGACCCAUGGGCAGUGAAGUUUAAAAUUGUGACCAGAGCAGUCACUGCCAUGGGGAAUGAGGGAU
Trachemys scripta elegans is the source of this 1765-nucleotide long non-coding RNA. RefSeq lists it as uncharacterized. The record is from RefSeq and is a predicted model, not a curated record. NCBI's taxonomy places the organism in Eukaryota, Metazoa, Chordata, Testudines, Emydidae. The transcript has 6 exons.